GUGGGGAAUCUUGCGCAAUGGGCGAAAGCCUGACGCAGCCAUGCCGCGUGAAUGAUGAAGGUCUUAGGAUUGUAAAAUUCUUUCACCGGGGACGAUAAUGACGGUACCCGGAGAAGAAGCUCCGGCUAACUUCGUGCCAGCAGCCGCGGUAAUACGAAGGGGGCUAGCGUUGCUCGGAAUUACUGGGUGUAAAGGGCGCGUAGGCGGACAGCUUAGUCAGAGGUGAAAGCCCAGGGCUCAACCUUGGAAUUGCCUUUGAUACUGGCUGUCUUGAGUACGGGAGAGGUGAGUGGAACGCCGAGUGUAGAGGUGAAAUUCGUAGAUAUUCGGAAGAACACCAGGGGCGAAGGCGACUCACUGGCCCGUUACUGACGCUGAGGCGCGAAAGCGUGGGGAGCAAACAGGAUUAGAUACCCGGGUAGUCC
This 425-nucleotide ribosomal RNA is filed under the name uncultured bacterium. RNAcentral's name for it is "partial 16S ribosomal RNA". It matches the Rfam family "Bacterial small subunit ribosomal RNA", at positions 354 to 796 of the family's 1533-position model. The record is from RNAcentral.